This 253-nucleotide ribosomal RNA is filed under the name uncultured bacterium. RNAcentral describes it as "partial 16S ribosomal RNA". It matches the Rfam family "Bacterial small subunit ribosomal RNA", at positions 524 to 776 of the family's 1533-position model. The record is from RNAcentral.
UACAGAGGGGGCAAGCGUUGUUCGGAAUUACUGGGCGUAAAGGGCGCGUAGGCGGCCUUCUAAGUCGAACGUGAAAUCCCCGGGCUCAACCCGGGAACUGCGUCCGAUACUGGAAGGCUUGAAUUCGGGAGAGGGAUGCGGAAUUCCAGGUGUAGCGGUGAAAUGCGUAGAUAUCGUAAGGAAGACCAGUGGCGAAGGCGGGUCUCUGGACAGUUCCUGACGCUGAGGCACGAAGGCCAGGGGAGCGAACGGG